AUUCUGCCCAUGCGGGGAAGGAUGAGAAGCUUCGACCAAGGUUCGACUCGAGCGCCAGCGAGAGAGCGUUGCCGCAGGCAACGACCCGAAGGGCGAAGCGCGCAGCGCUGAGUAAUCCUUCCCCACCACCA
Molecule: small RNA, 131 nt
Filed under: Escherichia coli
Lineage: Bacteria; Pseudomonadati; Pseudomonadota; Gammaproteobacteria; Enterobacterales; Enterobacteriaceae
Also listed under: 2 other names
Description: RtT sRNA
Rfam family: RtT RNA
About the family: This family represents a bacterial cis-regulatory element known as RtT RNA.
Source: RNAcentral